This 253-nucleotide ribosomal RNA is filed under the name uncultured bacterium. RNAcentral's name for it is "partial 16S ribosomal RNA". It matches the Rfam family "Bacterial small subunit ribosomal RNA", at positions 524 to 776 of the family's 1533-position model. The record is from RNAcentral.
UACGUAGGCAGCAAACGUUGUUCGGAGUUACUGGGCGUAAAGAGUGCGUAGGCGGUCCGCUAAGUCUGGUGUGAAAUCUCCCGGCUCAACUGGGAGGGUGCGCUAGAUACUGGCGGGCUUGAGUGUGGGAGAGGGAAGCGGAAUUCCUGGUGUAGCGGUGAAAUGCGUAGAUAUCAGGAGGAACACCGGCGGUGUAGACGGCUUCCUGGACCACUACUGACGCUGAGGCACGAAAGCGUGGGGAGCAAACAGG